GUAACAAGGUCUCCGUUGGUGAACCAGCGGAGGGAUCAUUAAA
RNAcentral lists this ribosomal RNA (43 nucleotides) under Phyllachora miscanthi. Its description in RNAcentral is "partial 18S ribosomal RNA". The record is from RNAcentral. Lineage: Eukaryota; Fungi; Ascomycota; Sordariomycetes; Phyllachorales; Phyllachoraceae.